UGAGGAAUAUUGGUCAAUGGACGAAAGUCUGAACCAGCGACGCCGCGUGUGGGACGAAGGGGCUUUGCCCUGUAAACCACUGUCAGAUGGGAAAAAAAGCCAGCUCAGCUGGCUGGGAUUGUACCAUCAGAGGAAGGAUCGGCUAACUACGUGCCAGCAGCCGCGGUAAUACGUAGGAUCCAAGCGUUGUCCGGAAUUACUGGGUGUAAAGGGUGCGUAGGCGGAUUUGUACGUCAGAGGUUAAAUGUCACAGCUCAACUGUGAACCUGCCUUUGAUACGGCAAGUCUUGAGUGCGAGAGAGGUAGGUAGAAUUCCUGGUGUAGCGGUGAAAUGCGUAGAUAUCAGGAGGAAUACCAGUGGCGAAAGCGGCCUACUUGCUCGCAACUGACGCUGAGGCACGAAAGCGUGGGGAUCAAACAGG
RNAcentral lists this ribosomal RNA (422 nucleotides) under uncultured bacterium. RNAcentral describes it as "bacterial SSU rRNA". It matches the Rfam family "Bacterial small subunit ribosomal RNA", at positions 355 to 776 of the family's 1533-position model. The record is from RNAcentral.